UUGUACACACCGCCCGUCACGUCAUGAAAGUUGGUAACACCCGAAGCCAGUGGCCUAACCCUUGUGGGGGGAGCUGUCGAAGGUGGGAUCGGCGAUUGGGACGAAGUCGUAACAAGGUAGCCGUACCGGAAGGUGCGGCUGGAUCACCUCCUUUCUAAGGAG
This 162-nucleotide ribosomal RNA is filed under the name Corynebacterium diphtheriae. RNAcentral's name for it is "partial 16S ribosomal RNA". It matches the Rfam family "Bacterial small subunit ribosomal RNA", at positions 1381 to 1533 of the family's 1533-position model. The record is from RNAcentral. Lineage: Bacteria; Bacillati; Actinomycetota; Actinomycetes; Mycobacteriales; Corynebacteriaceae.